UCAGUCUUUCUCUAUCUACUUUCCCCAUGCCUUGUAUCAUUUUUAUUUUUUUUUAUAAACGUCUAUCAUGAUACAAGGCAUGGGGAAAGUAGAUAGAGAAAGACUG
RNAcentral lists this microRNA precursor (106 nucleotides) under Podarcis lilfordi (Lilford's wall lizard). Lineage: Eukaryota; Metazoa; Chordata; Lepidosauria; Squamata; Lacertidae. The record is from RNAcentral.